Molecule: ribosomal RNA, 253 nt
Filed under: uncultured bacterium
Lineage: Bacteria
Description: partial 16S ribosomal RNA
Rfam family: Bacterial small subunit ribosomal RNA
Source: RNAcentral
UACAGAGGGGGCAAGCGUUGUUCGGAAUUACUGGGCGUAAAGGGCGCGUAGGCGGCCUGUUAAGUCGAACGUGAAAUCCCCGGGCUCAACCCGGGAACUGCGUCCGAUACUGGCAGGCUUGAAUACCGUGGAGGUCAGCGGAAUAUGUCAUGUAGCGGUGAAAUGCUUAGAUAUGACAUAGAACACCAAUUGCGAAGGCAGCUGGCUACACAAAUAUUGACACUGAGGCACGAAAGCGUGGGGAUCAAACAGG